GCCUUCUAGCUCAGUUGGUAGACCAUGAGACUCUUAAUCUUAAGGUUGUGGGUUCAAGCCCUACAUUGGGCA
Non-coding RNA from Podarcis lilfordi (Lilford's wall lizard), 72 nucleotides. NCBI's taxonomy places the organism in Eukaryota, Metazoa, Chordata, Lepidosauria, Squamata, Lacertidae. The record is from the annotation of a GenBank genome assembly.